This 754-nucleotide unclassified non-coding RNA is filed under the name Hevea brasiliensis (rubber tree). The record is from RNAcentral. Lineage: Eukaryota; Viridiplantae; Streptophyta; Magnoliopsida; Malpighiales; Euphorbiaceae.
UUCCAGUUCCGUGGGAUUCUGAAAAUACGAACUUACCCUAAUUCCAAAAUGGACCAUACAUUUCAUCUUAAUUUUCAUCCUAAAACAUCUUAAUCUACAGUCGAUUUCUGAAAAUUUACGAUUCAAGACGAAGUGAUAAGCAGCUUCAAAUCGAACUUACCUGUGCCAUUUUCUCCAGGAUUGACACAAUCAAAUCCACAUCCACACUGUGGCGAUUCAUAGAAGUUAUCAAUUGCAAAAUCAGCAGAAGCAAUACCGACGGAGAAAUCGAGAUCGUCGCCGUCACGAGUAACUUCGACAAUAUUAAUCCAAAACAAAAGCACUUUCACCUGUACGCCUUUCAAGUUCGCAAGUCGAUCCUUAGAGAUUUUACCAGUAAUUUUACUCAUAUACUUGAGAUUAUAGCCGCUUAUGCUGAAACUGCACGAUUUGUUAAAGUAAACGGCGAAAUUGCCCGUUGUUUUGUCGAGUUCGUACCUUGUUACGCCCUUCGGAAGUAUCCCUACCGGAAAGUCGUAUUCCUGAAGAAUCUCAUACGCCGUCGGGGACUGAGAAUCCUCAUCGCCGACGACCGGUGAAGCUGCAGAGAGUUGGAGUAGGAGGAGGAGGAUGCAUAAGGGAAGGGCUACAGAAGGCAUAUCUUGUUCGUAGUUACCGAAAACAAAUUUACUUGAAAUUUGAUAUAUUACUCUUAUUUAUUAUUGAGGGGCUUGAAUUUGAAAUUUGUACUAUUCAGUUGUUCUCUGGUGUGCUG